Molecule: long non-coding RNA, 2391 nt
Organism: Bos indicus x Bos taurus (hybrid cattle)
Lineage: Eukaryota; Metazoa; Chordata; Mammalia; Artiodactyla; Bovidae
Source: Ensembl
CUUAUUUCAAAUCCUAAGAGAUGAUGCACUCAGUAUGCCAGCAAAUUUGGAAAACUCAGUAGUGGCCACAGGUUGCAGGGUAGUUGUCUGCUAAGGCUGCUGUCAUCUUGAAGCUCAAAUGAGGAAGACAGGGUGGUAGAAUUCACUGUCGCAGAACAGAAUGAAGAAAAAAGAAUGAAAAGAAAUGAGGACAGUCUUUGGGACAACAUAAAAUUCACCAACACUUGCAUUACAGGGCUCCCAGAAGGAUAGGAGAGAGAACCAGGAGGAUAAGAGAAAGAAAGAGCCUGGAAGGUAUUUGAACAGAUACUACUGAAAAAUUCCCUAGCAUGGGAAAGGAGAAAGCCACCCAAGUCCAGGGAACUCAGUGAGUCACAUACAUGAUUCACCCUCUUUCUCCACAGUUUCUGACUUACGGUGCUCCUCCAAGCUCAGGACCCCACGCUGCUCUCCAAGUCAGUACCUCUUCCUACUUUGACUUACUGCCAUCCUCCUCAUGCAGGAACUCCACUCCACACCAAGGACUAUCUCUGCAUAGUUUUUGUCUCACAGCGCUUCUCCUCAUCAGGAACCCUCACCUUCUCCAAGAACUGCACAGCUGUAGAAUUUGGUAUUUCUGCCUGGUUUCUGACCUAGUGUUCUCCUGCUCACUUGGGAUCUCCAUUUCGAAGCAAGUGAGUAUCUCUUCCCAUUAUCUGAACUAUGUUCUCCUCCUCACUCAAGACCCUCCCCUCCUCUCCUUGUCAGUAUCUCUGGCUAUCUACUACUCACACCGGACCUCCACUUUUGUCCAAGUGAGCAUCUCUGCCCAGAUUCUGACCUAUGGCUUGACCAUCAUUCACAACAUUCACUCCUUUCCAAGUGAGCACCUCUUCCUAGUUUCUGACCGACUGCCCUCCUUCUCAUUCAGGAUCUACCCACCUGUAAUUUGGCAUUUCUGCCUGCUUUCUGAAUUAGUGUGCUCCUGCUCACUCAGGAUCUCUACUUCUCUCCAAGUGAGCGUCUCAUCCAGUUUUGAAUUAUGCGUCCUCCUCACUCAGGACUCUCUAGUCCUCUCCAUGUAAGUACCUCUGCCUAGCUUCUAACCCAGUGUGCUACUACUCACACGGAUCUUCACUUUUCUCCAAAUGAGUAUCUCUGACCAGUUUCUGUCCUAUGUCCUGGUUCUCAUUCAUAACACCCGCCGUUUUCCAUUUGAGCACUCUUCCUCGUUUCUUACUUCCUAUAUUCCUUUCUCAAUUUUAUAUGCUUUUGUACCUUUCCUAGUUUUUGACUUACUGUGCUCCUGCUCUCUCAGGCUCUUCACUUCUCUCCAAGUCAGUGUGUUCCCAUUUUAACUGUGCUCCCCUCCUUGCUCAGAACCUCCACUCCUCUCUGAGUUUGUAUUUUUUUACUUGCUUCUGAUCUUUUCACUCCUCCUCACUCAGAACCCUCCACUCCUCUCCGAGUGAGUAUCUGUACCCAGUAUGUGACCUACGCGCUCAUCACUAAGAAUCCCUCACUCCUCUCCAAGUAAGUACAUCUUGCUAUCUCUGCUCUACUGUUGUCCUUCUAAAUCUGCAAGUCCACUACUGUUGAAUUUGAGUAUCUGCCUACUUUCGACUAACUGUGCUCCCCCUCACUCAGGACCUCCACUCGUCUCAAGUGAGCAUCUCUCCCUAGUUUCUGACUGCCUUCCCUCGUCCUCAGUCAGGUCCCUCCACUCCUCUCCACGUGAGUAUCUCUGCCCAGUUUCUCACCUAAUCGCUCCUCCUCAUUCAGGACAUCUACUCAUCUCCAAGUGAGCAUCACUGCCUACUUAACUGACUCCACUCAAGACUUCUCUCCCAGUGUGUAUCUCUACCCAGUGUCUGACCGAUGCGCCCCUGCUUACUCAGAUCCUCUCACAUCUUGCUAGUUUUGCGCACUGCCCUCCUUGUCAGUUAGGAACGCCAUUCCUGUGGAAUCUCUGCCUAGUUUGACUCACUGUGCUCCUCCUCAUCAGAAACCUCUGGUCCUGAGUAUCUGCUCAAUAUCCUAUGUGCUCUUCCUCACUCAAGACCCUCUUUCCUCUUCAAGUGAGUAUCUCAGACUAGUUUCUAACUUACUGAACUUCUCCUAAGUGACGACCCCCUGCCCCUGUCCUCUCCAAGUAAGUAUCUCGGACUACUUUCUAGUUGCGCUCCUCAUCACUCAAGACCUCCUCUCAUUUCCAAGUGAGUACCUCUUCCUAGUUUCUGACUUACUGCCCUCCUCGUCGCUCAAGACCUCCCACUCCUCUCCAAAUGAAUGUCUUUGUCUACCUUCUGACUUACCGCUCUCCUCCUCAUUGAGGAUGCCAGCACUGGUCACUGGGUGUGAAUUUUCUCCAUGUUUCUGUGUUCAAUAAAUAGUUUUUGGCGUGCUCUCCCA